This 804-nucleotide long non-coding RNA is filed under the name Mus musculus (house mouse). Its description in RNAcentral is "predicted gene, 32960". Lineage: Eukaryota; Metazoa; Chordata; Mammalia; Rodentia; Muridae. The record is from RNAcentral.
AGCUGCAGCAGUGCCCUUGCAGAGAAGUGAUUUUCAAUGGGCUCACUUAACACUAUUUUAAUUGUUUUAAAAUGUUUCUAUGGGCUUUUGGAGGUCAGAAGCUGCUAAGUACUGAAGUCUUCCCCAGGGCUGUAGUCUGCGGGUUGGACAAAGGAAACCUGGAGAUUGUGAAAGGGAGCCUGGGAUGAACAGAAAUGAGCUUUCUUUCAUAGAGGUGGUACUGCACAGCCUCAUCCUAAGACAGACAACUGCCAUCUGCUUCAUGAGAUCAGCUGUGUCUGCUUACAAACGAUGAGCACAUCUGGGCUUGCUGACGAUUGAUGUCCCUUCAGAGAUGGAUGAGUCAGGAAAGUGAAUGGAUCCUCACCUGAGUACCCAGACUCCCUCCUGACCGGUCCUAUGCAGUUCUACCCUGAUUACUUGUGGCCUCAUGAUAUUGGGAAGGAGCUAGAGUAUACAGGCUGGGAAAGACUGGGAGCAGUGGGGGGUCUUUUGCAGCUAUGGGAAAACUAUUAAAACAUACCAGGUAAAGGUAUUCCAAUAUGGUUGCUUUUGGGUGCCCACACCCCUGUCAGUAACGACCACUUGUGCAGAAUAAGCCCAAUAAACUCAUUGAUUCUCCAGGGUGAAUUUUGAUGAAAUUGAACUUUGGUUUGUCAUUGGAAACUUGUGGUGGAAGGAGAGACAUUACCUCUCCCCUUUCAGAAAGAAAAUUCUCCCAUUAGAUAGUAAAUUCAUUUGUUGGUACCAUUAUGCCUCGAGGUAUUAAUGUAAAGCAGUAAAUAAAGCAACAUGUUAGAAGCA